This 21-nucleotide microRNA is filed under the name Rattus norvegicus (Norway rat). Its description in RNAcentral is "Rno-Mir-6715_5p (mature (co-guide))". Lineage: Eukaryota; Metazoa; Chordata; Mammalia; Rodentia; Muridae. The record is from RNAcentral.
ACAGGCCGGCAGGUUUGAGCA